RNAcentral lists this ribosomal RNA (490 nucleotides) under uncultured bacterium. RNAcentral's name for it is "bacterial SSU rRNA". It matches the Rfam family "Bacterial small subunit ribosomal RNA", at positions 28 to 507 of the family's 1533-position model. The record is from RNAcentral.
GAUGAACGCUAGCGGGAGGCUUAACACAUGCAAGUCGAGGGGCAGCAUGGGGUAGCAAUACCCUGAUGGCGACCGGCAAACGGGUGAGUAACGCGUAUGUAACCUACCCUGUACGAGGGGGAUAACCCGGAGAAAUUCGGACUAAUAUCCCAUAACAAUAUCUGGAGGCAUCUUUGGAUAUUUAAAGUUCCGGCGGUACGGGAUGGGCAUGCGUAACAUUAGCUAGUUGGUAAGGUAACGGCUUACCAAGGCUUUGAUGUUUAGGGGUCCUGAGAGGGUGGUCCCCCACACUGGUACUGAGACACGGACCAGACUCCUACGGGAGGCAGCAGUGAGGAAUAUUGGUCAAUGGGCGCAAGCCUGAACCAGCCAUCCCGCGUGCAGGAAGACGGCCCUAUGGGUUGUAAACUGCUUUUCCAGGGAGAAGAAACUUGCGCACGUGUUGCGCAAUUGACGGUACCCUGGGAAUAAGCAUCGGCUAACCUCCGUG